Molecule: ribosomal RNA, 120 nt
Filed under: Penicillium nalgiovense
Lineage: Eukaryota; Fungi; Ascomycota; Eurotiomycetes; Eurotiales; Aspergillaceae
Source: RNAcentral
ACAUACGACCAUAGGGUGUGGAAAAUAGGGCUUCCCGUCCGCUCAGCCGUACUCAAGCUACACGCCGGUGAGUUAGUAGUUGGGUGGGUGACCACCAGCGAAUCCUCACUGUUGUAUGUU